GGAGUUAGCCGGUGCUUCUUCUGUGAGUGAUGUCCUUCCUGCCGGCUAUUAACCCGCAGGCCUUCUUCCUCACUGAAAGUGCUUUACAACCCGAAGGCCUUCUUCACACACGCGGCAUGGCUGGAUCAGGGUUGCCCCCAUUGUCCAAUAUUCCCCACUGCUGCCUCCCGUAGGAGUCUGGGCCGUGUCUCAGUCCCAGUGUGGCUGAUCAUCCUCUCAGACCAGCUACGGAUCGUCGCCUUGGUGAGCCGUUACCUCACCAACCAGCUAAUCCGACAUAGGCUCAUCCGAUAGCGCGAGGCCCGAAGGUCCCCCGCUUUCCCCCGUAGGGCGUAUGCGGUAUUAGCCUGGGUUUCCCCCAGGUUAUCCCCCACUACCGGGCAGAUUCCUAUGCAUUACUCACCCGUCCGCCGCUCGCCACCAGGGAGCAAGCUCCCCGUGCUGCCGCUCGACUUGCAUGUGUUAGGCCUGCCGCCAGCGUUCAAUCUGAGCCAGAAUCGAAACCUCUAGA
RNAcentral lists this ribosomal RNA (511 nucleotides) under uncultured bacterium. Its description in RNAcentral is "partial 16S ribosomal RNA". The record is from RNAcentral.